Non-coding RNA from Helianthus annuus (common sunflower), 106 nucleotides. Lineage: Eukaryota; Viridiplantae; Streptophyta; Magnoliopsida; Asterales; Asteraceae. The record is from Rfam.
AUACCAUGAUGUGGGCAAUUCUUAAUCAUCAUUUUGAACCGCUUAAACACUUCAUGGAAAAGCUCACCAGCUUGCUGUUGGAAGUUCCGAAUGUCUUUCCUAGCGU